This 1931-nucleotide ribosomal RNA is filed under the name Bacteroides ovatus. Its description in RNAcentral is "partial 23S ribosomal RNA". It matches the Rfam family "Bacterial large subunit ribosomal RNA". Lineage: Bacteria; Pseudomonadati; Bacteroidota; Bacteroidia; Bacteroidales; Bacteroidaceae. The record is from RNAcentral.
AAAGAAAGUAAGCAAGGGCGCAUGGCGGAUGCCUUGGCUCUCGGAGGCGAUGAAGGACGUGAUAAGCUGCGAUAAGCUUCGGGCAGGUGCAAAUAACCUUUGAUCCGAAGAUUUCCGAAUGGGACAACCCGUCAUUCUGAAGGAAUGACAUCUUGCAUAGCAAGAGGCUAACGCAGGGAACUGAAACAUCUUAGUACCUGUAGGAAAAGAAAAUAAUAAUGAUUCCCCUAGUAGUGGCGAGCGAACGGGGAUUAGCCCAAACCAAUGUUGUUACGGCAAUAUUGGGGUUGUAGGACCACGAUGUCGCAAGAAGUUUAGUGAGAAGAACCCUUUGGAAAAUGGGACCAUAGACGGUGAUAGUCCGGUAUUCGAAGCUAAAUGAAGCGUAGUGGUAUCCUGAGUAGCGCGGGACACGAGGAAUCUUGCGUGAAUCUGCCGGGACCAUCCGGUAAGGCUAAAUACUCCCGAGAGACCGAUAGCGAACCAGUACUGUGAAGGAAAGGUGAAAAGCACUUCGAAUAGAAGAGUGAAAUAGUCCCUGAAACCGUGCGCCUACAAGCGGUCGGAGCUGCUUCAGCAGUGACGGCGUGCCUUUUGCAUAAUGAACCUACGAGUUACUUUUUCCGGCAAGGUUAAGGAUCUUGAGAUCCGCAGCCGAAGCGAAAGCGAGUCUUAAUAGGGCGAUUAGUCGGAAGGAGUAGACGCGAAACCAAGUGAUCUACCCUUGGUCAGGUUGAAGGUUAGGUAACACUAACUGGAGGACCGAACCGAUAAGCGUUGAAAAGCUUCCGGAUGAACUGAGGGUGGGGGUGAAAGGCUAAUCAAACUUGGAGAUAGCUCGUACUCCCCGAAAUGCAUUUAGGUGCAGCCUUGGGAAUUACUACUGUGAGGUAGAGCGACUGAUAAGAUGCGAGGGCUUCACCGCCUAUCAAGUCUUGAUAAACUCCGAAUGCGCAGUAGUUCGAUCCCAGGAGUGAGGGCAUGGGUGCUAAGGUCCAUGUCCUAAAGGAGAAGAAUCCAGACCAUCAGCUAAGGUCCCGAAAUAAUUGCUAAGUUGAACUAACGAAGUCAGAUUGCUAAGACAGCUAGGAUGUUGGCUUGGAAGCAGCCAUUCAUUUAAAGAGUGCGUAACAGCUCACUAGUCGAGGAGUUUGGCGUGGAUAAUAAUCGGGCAUUAAGCAAUUUACCGAAGCUAUGGGAUGUUAACUAAACACUAACAUCGGUAGGGGAGCAUUCCACUCUGCGUCGAAGGUGAAGCGUGAGCUUUGCUGGAGCGUGUGGAAAAGCAAAUGUAGGUAUAAGUAACGAUAAAGGGGGUGAGAAACCCCCUCGCCGAAAGACUAAGGUUUCCUGAUCAACGCUAAUCGGAUCAGGGUUAGUCGGGUCCUAAGGCUCAGCCGAACGGUGAGGCCGAUGGCAGAACAGGUUAAUAUUCCUGUACUACCUUAAGGAGUGACGUGGAGACGGAGGAGUGACAACGCCGCGGACUGACGGAAUAGUCCGUUGAAGGGUGUAGAUGUUGAUUAUCCCAGGCAAAUCCGGGAUAAGAGUCGAACCUGAUAGUAUACCAAAUUCUUCGGAAUAAGGUAAUAGUGCGUGUAAGCAUACUCCCAAGAAAAUCCGCUAAACUUAAUCUUUAAGGUACCCGUACCGCAAACGGACACACGUAGUCGGGUUGAAUNUUGCUAAGUUGAACUAACGAAGUCAGAUUGCUAAGACAGCUAGGAUGUUGGCUUGGAAGCAGCCAUUCAUUUAAAGAGUGCGUAACAGCUCACUAGUCGAGGAGUUUGGCGUGGAUAAUAAUCGGGCAUUAAGCAAUUUACCGAAGCUAUGGGAUGUUAACUAAACACUAACAUCGGUAGGGGAGCAUUCCACUCUGCGUCGAAGGUGAAGCGUGAGCUUUGCUGGAGCGUGUGGAAAAGCAAAUGUAG